AAAUAGCCAAGGCUUCAUCAGUAAACAAUGAUUAAUCUUCCGCCUUUUAGCCAAUCAACUUGCAAGGAAAUUUUGUAUAGUUUUAUUUUCAACUAGGUAUUAUGAAGAAGUUGCUCAUUUUUUAUUCAAAAUUUAUGUGCAGUAUAUUUUGGCGUUCUCUGAUUGGCAUUGCCUGCGGCUGGCAAAGGCAUUUAGAGUUAUUCACAGGUUCUCAUAAGAGAGAACACGCGAUUAACGAAGGCAACAGAUCUUGAGGUAUUUGCUUGUGAAAAUUGCAGGGCAGGGAAGAUGUGUGGCCUGCAUGCAAAAUAGAACACAUGUCUUAUCUAUUAUAAUUAUUAGAUCUCUUAAAAUUCCUUUGAGACUCACCAUUUUCAGUGGGUCAGUGACGCCUCUAAGACAAAGUAAGAAACUUAGAAUGUGGUUUGCCUCACUUGUAGUCAACAGAGCGUUCGCCAGAAUGAUAUUAUCAGUGUGGUUAAUUGUUUCAGUCUCGGCGUCUUCUUUUUAUGGUAGAGGAGGAGACAGAUGGAAGGCAACCUCUACAACUUUGUAUGAAGACUCUGAGGCUCUAGACACCAUGGGUCUCUUCUAAUAAAGUAUCAAAAUUACCUAUUACAAAGGACUUUCAUUUGGAAGAUGGAAGGACUCACAGGGGGCCAAAAAUUCCCGUAGUGAGCAGGCUAAAGACCAAGGGCACUCAACUAUAUCAGAGGUAAUAGACAAAAUUUCUCACUUUCCCUCAUCUGGAACACAUUUGUAUGGCUUAUGCUUAUUGGCUUCUUCAAUCAAAUAAUUACAAUUGGCCAAAGUUUUUUUAGGGAGAGGCAGAAAAAAGAGAUUGGUUCCUUGACACGAGAGCAGGUUUUCGAAAGGCAUCUAGAAAUAUUGAAUUUGUCUAAUGGAACAGAGGGUCUAAAGUUAGAAUGAAUAAAUUGGUCUCCAUCUUUCGCUCCUAGCUCAAACAAAGGUAGGACGAAUGUGUGGAUUCCUAACAACACCUACAUAAUAGAGUCGCCUUUGCAGCUACACAAUCUCUUUUGUUAUGGAUAUCGUCAUUACUUAGACAUGAUCUUCAUCUAUUUGUAUAAAAUGAAAUGUUGGUCAUUAGCAAUGGUAUAUUAUUUAUGUACAUCAACUUGAAUCUGCUCAAUGUGCUUAUUGUAUUUAUC
Long non-coding RNA from Cryptomeria japonica (Japanese cedar), 1172 nucleotides. RefSeq lists it as uncharacterized. The transcript is spliced from 4 exons. The record is from RefSeq and is a predicted model, not a curated record. Lineage: Eukaryota; Viridiplantae; Streptophyta; Pinopsida; Cupressales; Cupressaceae.